CGGGUGAGUAAUGUCUGGGGAUCUGCCUGAUGGCGGGGGAUAACUACUGGAAACGGUAGCUAAUACCGCAUAAUGUCUGCGGACCAAAGCGGGGGACCUCCGGGCCUCGCGCCAUCAGAUGAACCCAUAUGGGAUUAGCUAGUAGGUAAGGUAACGGCUUACCUAGGCGACGAUCCCUAGCUGGUCUGAGAGGAUGACCAGCCACACUGGAACUGAGACACGGUCCAG
This 228-nucleotide ribosomal RNA is filed under the name uncultured bacterium. RNAcentral describes it as "partial 16S ribosomal RNA". It matches the Rfam family "Bacterial small subunit ribosomal RNA", at positions 103 to 334 of the family's 1533-position model. The record is from RNAcentral.